AGAAAGUCUCACCUCUGCAUUUGAGUAGUAGUGAGCUCUGGAUUUAUAUGAAAGGUGAAACGGGCUCCAUUGCUACAAGGGUGCAUGAGUACUGGUAAUUUAGUCUGGGUAAGUUGUAUACCUACAGUAUCCCAGGCACUGUGUUUGGGGUACAAAGGUAAGGUGUGUCUGGUCUCUGGCCUCAGGAGCUUAGAAUCUAGUGAAAUCGAUGGACACAUAAACUUUGGUCCAUGGCAGUGACUAAGUGCAAUAAUUUGAGAGCUCUACACAAGGGCAACCAGCCCAGUCCAGGAAUGGGGGUGGGAGUUUAGAGAAAGCUUUUUGGGUGUAUGACUGAACAUGAAUUCAGUCAGGUAAAAGAAGUGGGAAGUGGGAAUGGACAUCCAGGCAAGGCACAGAAUAGCUAAUAAACAAGGUCUUAAGUAUGGGGAACCAUAAGUAGCUCUCAUUGCUGGGAUGCUGGUUCGGAGGAAAGCAGUGAUGAGAACAAGACAAGAGUCCUAUCUUGGAAGGCCUUGUAGGCCUUGUUUAAGACACACUGAAGAGUUUCAGGGAAGUGAGUGAAAAAGAAAAGCAUGUAGGUAACUGCUAGCAGAGUGGAGGUAGAUUUUAGGGGUCUACUUGCUAAAGGCUGGUUUUCCUAUGAGCAAGGGAAGUGGGGCAGGUCCUGACAAGAUUAAGAAAUAGCUUUCCAUACCUUCCAGAAGAAGGUGGGGGGAGAAUUCUCAGCUUUGGGCUGCAUUCAGCCCUUUAUUUUGCUCCUUUCUCAUAGAGCCCAGCACCUUCAUACUUCCUUUUGGCAAUUCAGAGCCUCCUGUUUGGCAUUCUGUGCCCUAGUGUGGUCACUUAACAGCUAUUAGAAUUCAAUUAAACCAGUUACCCUGAUCUUCAGUUUUUAAAUCUGUAAGUAUCUGUUUUAUUCCCUUCAGCAUUAGAAAUUUAAAUGAGUUCACAUUUAGCUGUGAAUGUCUGAGAGCUUCUUCUCUCAUUGUUUUUGUUUCAUAUGUUUUGUGGGUAGUGCUUAAUAAGUAUUUUUAACCAUAUUUUUUUCAUAUUAGUAAUUGCAUCCACUGUUGAAAAUUUGAAAAAUAGAGAAGCAAAUGGAAGAAAAUAAAACCAUCCAUAAUCACA
Molecule: long non-coding RNA, 1131 nt
Organism: Mustela lutreola (European mink)
Lineage: Eukaryota; Metazoa; Chordata; Mammalia; Carnivora; Mustelidae
Exons: 2
Source: RefSeq, a predicted model, not a curated record